RNAcentral lists this long non-coding RNA (488 nucleotides) under Equus asinus (donkey). Its description in RNAcentral is "lncRNA (ENSEASG00005024039.1)". Lineage: Eukaryota; Metazoa; Chordata; Mammalia; Perissodactyla; Equidae. The record is from RNAcentral.
UAAUUGGCCUCCUUAACUGGUCAGAAGUCACUCUCUUUUGGGAUUGGGGAGCCCGUCUGUUGGGACCCAUGAAAAUCUCCAGUGGAGCCGACCCAGCUUCUAGGUGCCCCGUCGUGACCUGGAUCAGCGCUGUGGAGUCAGGACACUGCAUCUCUGAGCUCUGGGACUUCAGUCUCCGUGAGCUCAGUACCUUCCCACCGCCACCCGAGGCCGGGUCACCUUCUUCUCCAGCCCAGACCUCUGCAGGUGCCUCCUGAAGGGACUCCUUGCUUCUGCUCUUAGGCCUCUACAACCCCUUCCCCUCACAGCCCGAGGGAUCUCUUUAAAAGUCGAUAAAUCACCUACCACCAUUCCCUAGCUCAAAGCUGUCCAAUGGCUUCUCAUCGGACUCAGAAUAAAGUUCAAGCUCCUCACGCCUCACAAGACCUCACCUGUGACCCCCUCUCCAUUCUCAUGGCCUUCCUGCUCAUUUCUUCCUUGGGGUCUUC